Molecule: long non-coding RNA, 394 nt
Organism: Bradysia coprophila
Lineage: Eukaryota; Metazoa; Arthropoda; Insecta; Diptera; Sciaridae
Source: RefSeq, a predicted model, not a curated record
GUAUUUUAUAAAACUUACUCGCUGGAGGUGGAAAUGCUUGGCUCACCAGUCAUGAUGAUACUGUACACAUGUCGAUCGUUAUACUUCAACUUUUUUGUGUACAAAAUUAUUGAAGUCGGCAGCAGGAUAAAAAAUACGAAACAACUUACCCACUCACUCCUGAACAAAGCGAAUAUUUUAUGUAGCAGAGCCACUGAUCAUAUAGAGAUAAAAAACUUCAGUUAUCAACUCAGUCACUCUAACGUUGAAAUUACUUGCGGACUUUUUCCGGUCGACUGGACGAUUUUAUAUACUGUUGCAUCAGCGAUGGGAACUUAUUUGCUCUGGUUCAUACAAUUCGAUUCGAUUGGUACAAAGGGUACAGUUAAUUAAAAGUUCUGGAUUUUACUGUUAA